Molecule: unclassified non-coding RNA, 377 nt
Filed under: uncultured fungus
Lineage: Eukaryota; Fungi
Description: sequence contains ITS1
Source: RNAcentral
CUCAGGGACUUGCUACGGUCGGGUACGACGACGAAGGCGUUCAGGGACAAAAAUGGUAUCUCGUCAAAGACGGCGUCUUUGUCGAUUGGCAGACGACGCGUGAUCUUGCGCCGCUAAUCGGUAAAAAACAUUCGUACGGAUGCCUUCACGCCGACAGCUGGGGCAGCGUUCCUUUUCCGCGAAUGCCGAAUGUUUCGCUCGAGCCGGCGAAAGAAAAUAUCUCUGCCGCAGAUCUGAUCAGCGGCGUCGAAAACGGAAUUAUGAUCCACGGUCGCGGGAGCUAUUCGAUCGACCAGCAGCGCUAUAAUUUCCAAUUCGGCGGACAGACGUUUUGGGAAAUCAAAAACGGGAAAGUCCGCGGGAUGUUAAAAGACGUU